AACGAACGCUGGCGGUAUGCUUUACACAUGCAAGUCGAACGAACUGUUGGUAGCUUGCUAUUCAACAGUUAGUGGCAAAACGGGGUGAGUAACGCGUGGGAAUCUGCCCCUAUAGUACGGAAUAGCCGUUGGAAACGACGAUUAAUACCGUAUAUCUUCCCAGGAAGAAAGACUUGUCGCUAUAGGGAUGAGCCACGUUAGAUUAGUUUGUUGGUAGGGUAAUGGCCUACCAAGACUACGAUCUAUAGCUGGUUUGAGAGGAUGAUCAGCCACACUGGAACUGAGAUACGGUCCAGACUUCUACGGAAGGCAGCAGUGAGGAAUAUUGGACAAUGGGCGAAAGCCUGGAUCCAGCCAAUACCGCGUGAGUGAUGAAGGCUUUAGGGUUGUAAAACUCUUUCAG
RNAcentral lists this ribosomal RNA (403 nucleotides) under uncultured bacterium. RNAcentral's name for it is "bacterial SSU rRNA". It matches the Rfam family "Bacterial small subunit ribosomal RNA", at positions 29 to 439 of the family's 1533-position model. The record is from RNAcentral.